UACAGAGGUCUCAAGCGUUGUUCGGAUUCAUUGGGCGUAAAGGGUGCGUAGGUGGCGUCGUAAGUCAGGUGUGAAAUCUCGGGGCUUAACUCCGAAACUGCAUUUGAUACUGCGGUGCUUGAGGACUGGAGAGGAGACUGGAAUUCCCAGUGUAGCGGUGAAAUGCGUAGAUAUUGGGAGGAACACCAGAUGCGAAGGCGGGUCACUGGGCUGAUACUGACGCUAAAGCGCGAAAGCCAGGGGAGCGAACGGG
RNAcentral lists this ribosomal RNA (253 nucleotides) under uncultured prokaryote. RNAcentral's name for it is "partial 16S ribosomal RNA". It matches the Rfam family "Bacterial small subunit ribosomal RNA", at positions 524 to 776 of the family's 1533-position model. The record is from RNAcentral.